Molecule: transfer RNA, 61 nt
Filed under: Galba truncatula
Lineage: Eukaryota; Metazoa; Mollusca; Gastropoda; Lymnaeidae
Description: tRNA-Pro
Source: RNAcentral
CAAAAACAGUUUUUUGAAAACGUUAACUUUGGAAGUUAAAAGAUGAUUUACUUCAUUUUUG